GACGAACGCUGGCGGCGUGCUUAACACAUGCAAGUCGAACGGAAAGGCCCUGCUUGCAGGGUACUCGAGUGGCGAACGGGUGAGUAACACGCGGGUGAACUGCCCUCCACUUCGGGAUAUACCUGGGAAACUGGGUCUAAUACCGGAUAGGAGACAUUUUGAGCGGGAUGGUUGGAAAGUUUUUUGCGUUUAGGAUGAGUUCGCGGGCUAUCAGCUUGUUGGUGGGGUAAGGGGCUACCUACGCGGCGGCGGGUAGCAGGCCAUGGGGGGUGGACAGCGAACAUGGGGCUUGGGGAAGGCCCAAGCGCCUAAGGGGAGCAAGAGUGGGGAAGUUUGCACAAUGGGCGCGAAGCGUGUGCAGCGACCCCGCGGGGCGGAAGGCCGCCUUCGGGUUGGAAAAUCCUUUCGCUAGGGACGAAGCUUUUUGUGACGGUACCUAGUAAAGAAGCACCGGCUAACUACGUG
This 465-nucleotide ribosomal RNA is filed under the name uncultured bacterium. Its description in RNAcentral is "partial 16S ribosomal RNA". It matches the Rfam family "Bacterial small subunit ribosomal RNA", at positions 28 to 507 of the family's 1533-position model. The record is from RNAcentral.